AUUACAGUUCAUUAUUGCGGCAAUCUUUUUGAAACAUGGACUGAUAGAGCAGCCAUGCUUGAUGAAAUUGCAGCUUAUGUGAAGUUCCUGAGGCUUCAAGUCAAGGUAUCAUCAACUCUUUACCUGUUUUCUCUCACAUUUCUUUUUCAUAUUUCUACUUUACUGAAUAUUGUAUUGCUGCUCAUGUUUAUGGGAUCAGUCUUUGAUACCUUAAUUGAGUUUUUCACUGCAAAUGGUAAUCAAUUUAGAUGAAAGUUGUUACUUUUUACAAUGAUAUAUAGUGAUAGAUUAUUUUUAAAA
Molecule: long non-coding RNA, 300 nt
Organism: Gossypium arboreum
Lineage: Eukaryota; Viridiplantae; Streptophyta; Magnoliopsida; Malvales; Malvaceae
Exons: 2
Source: RefSeq, a predicted model, not a curated record